This 253-nucleotide ribosomal RNA is filed under the name uncultured bacterium. RNAcentral describes it as "partial 16S ribosomal RNA". It matches the Rfam family "Bacterial small subunit ribosomal RNA", at positions 524 to 776 of the family's 1533-position model. The record is from RNAcentral.
GACGUAGGGGGCCAGCGUUGCUCGGAAUUACUGGGUUUAAAGGGUGCGUAGGCGGCUAUGUAAGUCAGGAGUGAAAGUUUGCGGCUCAACCGUAAAAUUGCUUUUGAUACUGCAUGGCUGGAAUUAGGAUGAGGUCAGCGGAAUGUGGCAUGUAGCGGUGAAAUGCAUAGAUAUGCCAUAGAACACCAAUUGCGAAGGCAGCUGGCUAGACCUGGAUUGACGCUGAGGCCCGAAAGCGUGGGGAGCGAACAGG